Pseudoliparis swirei is the source of this 429-nucleotide long non-coding RNA. RefSeq lists it as uncharacterized. NCBI's taxonomy places the organism in Eukaryota, Metazoa, Chordata, Actinopteri, Perciformes, Liparidae. The transcript is spliced from 3 exons. The record is from RefSeq and is a predicted model, not a curated record.
UGCCGUUGAGAUUGCAGUGAGACGCGGAGAAAAAUGUGAAGUGGUGCUCCUCACAAUAGAACAUCUUUGAUGGGACGUGUCGCGUCUCGGCCAAUCAGCGUUCAGAUGUCCACAUCGUUUGGGGGUUCAGCACCGCCGUGAGCUGAGAAGAGUCAAAUAUCGAUACGGCAACCUCACAGCACACAUACCCCUGAAAGAGAAAGAAGAAGAGUGGAGUAAUGAGAAAGACAGCAUGGCACGCUCGCCCCUCGCCACAUCCUGGCAUCGUCUGGCAUCGUCUGGUCCAAGGCCACUCGGAGGCGUCAGCAGCUACGAUCUCAAAAAGCAUCAACUUGAAGUCUCCAGCACGAUCUGUGAAUGAGCUGCGGCUUUCAUUCAGUUCACUUUGGAGUGUGUAGCUCGAUGUACAAGCUUUUGAUUUUUGUUUGA